Molecule: small RNA, 1159 nt
Filed under: Rattus norvegicus (Norway rat)
Lineage: Eukaryota; Metazoa; Chordata; Mammalia; Rodentia; Muridae
Description: uncharacterized LOC103692415
Source: RNAcentral
UGUGGGCAUGUGAGCCUGUGCUCUUAGGUGUGUCAGCAGAACAGGGAGAAUAGUUCUCUCUGGUCAGGAUUGGAUGUGGAGAGUUGUGUCAGAGGGUUAAUCCUGGUGUACUGAUGGAAAACCAGAAAUAUCCUGUCCCUAGCUGUUUCGCAGUUCCUAAGCCCUUUGGACUCUUGGUGGGUUCCCCUUCGGAUAGUUGUUGGAGCAAAAGUGAUGGUCUCUCCUGUGAACUUAGGAGUAACAGCACUCCUGGAAGAUUAGCUCUCUCCAGGCAGGAUUUAUGUACAGAAUGCUGUGCCACAGGAUGAACUCUGUAGUACAGAUGGAGACCAGAAGGGUCCUAUCCACAGUAGCUCAUGGUUCUUGUGCACUGUUGUCUUCUAGUGGGUCCCCCUUUGGCCAUAUUGGAGCAAAAUUGGUGGUCUCACCUCUGAAAUUAGGAGUGACAGUGCUCCUGGGAGUCCAGCUUUCUCUGAACAGGAUUUGGGAAAAUUCCCCAAGUUCUUGCUGGAUUUAGCCAUGCAUCUUGGAUUGCAAAAUAUUAAAUGUUGUGAAAUUAAAUGAGGAAAGAAAGAAAAAAAAGAAAAAUACCAACCAACCUUUUUUAUUGCCUAGCCUGCAUACUUAGGAUUGUAAUGAACUACAUGACUGUGUCAUAUAGACAUGGAUUUUUUUGUUGCCUUCUGACAUAAUGCCUAUGGUGCUUGGCUCUCUGCAUGUGCCCUGCCUUCCUCCUUGGAUAGGAACCAUGGUGUUGAUGACACAUCCUUGUUUCUCUAUGGUGCUUUGUCCCUUUCAGAGCCUUUCACAGGCUGCAUCUUGUUUGCCACUCAUGGAAACCCAAGGAAGGACAAGAAAGAGCAGAGAAUGCCACUUACCAAUCCCCACCUCUCCUCAUCACUUAGUACAAUAUUGAUUAUGGGCUUUAGAGAGCAUCUCAUGUAGACCAGGCUGCCCUUAAAUUUUAUAUGUAGUUAAGGAUAUCACUUUUGACUUCCUGAUUCUCCUGCUUUCAUCGUCCAAGAGCUGUGGUUAUAGGCAUAUGACACUAUACCAGCAAAACGAUUUGCUUAAAUUCAGAUGAAGUGGAGAGCUCUCAGCUCCUCCUGCACCAAACCUGCCUGGAUGCUGCCAUGUCCUCACCUUGAUGAUAAUGGAC